GAGGGAGGGAGGGAGAGGGAGAGAGAGACAAGGCGGAAGCAGAGCCUUUGCGGGUAGAGCAGAUAAAGAUUCCCAGACAAAUUUCAUGGGUGAAGUGGCCAAUUUACUUCUUUUAUAGCUGAAUGUCAUUUUUUUUGUGGAUUUUUCCAUCAAGUAGUGAAAACUCACAUAUUAAUAAUAUUCAGAGUCUCCUCUGGCCAUUUAAGCACCCUCUUUGUCCAGAGUCAAGUCAGAUUCUUGGCGGCCCUCCUGGCGCCACGUGUGUGAGGUGGGGGGAGGUUUCUCACCCUUGGCGAUCCUCUCCUCCGCACAGGGGCGUCUGUGGGGGUGUCCGCCAUUUUGUUUGGUCUCAGCUGCCAGUUCCCAGAGGAACCCUCUCUUCUGGCCACACGCCCGCUUGAUGGUCACAGGCCUCCGUCAGCGGCUUCUCCAUCCCUCUCUGGCAAGCUGAAGUACGUGACGACUUCCCUGGCCCUCUAGGGUUCUCAGGCCGUCAGGUACGGGUCUCUGUCAAUCUGGCACCUGACAGCUGAGACAAACGAAAAAGACGCUCCGCUCGCUGAUUCCUGGGCCGCGCGGGGUCACGGGGCGCUGCGGCUUUCCUGGAAUCUCCUCAGGAUUCAGGCACACCCUGUGCUCUCAGGUUCACUAAACCCGUCUGGGGUUUCUACACACGACCUGAAGGCAUCUCCGCCCUUUGGCGGCAGAUAGAGGAAUAGAAACGACUGAGGAGACAUGAAGCAGGGAGGAAAAGCUGGAUGAGAGGAAGCACAGGGAGUGGAAGGCAACGUCCAGGAGACACGGCUCCUGAUGCCCUUUCGUCUCGGUGGGCUCUCUGUGGCGAACCGUUGUCUGCUUGAGAGGAAAAGGGAAGUCAUAUUUGGUGCCAUCCUCUGGACUCCAGAUGUUUUUGUGCCUGGCCAUAAUUAUAUAUAUAUGCGCAUAUAUAUAUAUAUUUGCAUAUAUAUAUAUUUGCAUAUAUAUAUAUAUUUUGUUUGUUUGUUUGUUUUUGGAGACAGAAUCUCACUCUGUGCCCAGGCUGGAGUGAAGUGGCGCGAUCUGGGCUCACUGCAAGCCCCGCCUUCCGGCUUCCCGCCAUUCUCCUGCCUCAGCCUCGCGAGUAGCUGGGACGACAGGCGCCGCCACCAGGCUUAGCUGUCAAAUUAGCUAUUUUUAAGUGAGAGAAGCUGCAGCCUGUUGAGACUCCACAAGACUGAAGAUAUGAAAAGAGGAAAUAUGCAUGAAUGCCCGCACGGAGAACCACCCCCACCUGCUGCUCCCGCUCUAAUGAUCACGCCCAUUAUCAACUGGGGGAUGGCUCUGUGCCUUGUCCUUG
Molecule: long non-coding RNA, 1336 nt
Filed under: Homo sapiens (human)
Lineage: Eukaryota; Metazoa; Chordata; Mammalia; Primates; Hominidae
Description: non-protein coding LINC01060:3
Source: RNAcentral